AACGAACGCUGGCGGCGUGCCUAAGACAUGCAAGUCGUGCGGAAAGGCUCCUUCGGGAGCGCUCGAGCGGCGCACGGGUGAGUAACGCGUGGGUAAUCUGCCCUCGGGUCUGGGAUAACUCCGGGAAACUGGAGCUAAUACCGGAUAAGACCACGGGACCUUCGGAUCUCGCGGAAAAAGGUGGCCUCUGCUUGCAUGCCACUGCCUGUCGAUGAGCCCGCGUCCCAUUAGCUUGUUGGUGGGGUAACGGCCUACCAAGGCGAUGAUGGGUAGCUGGUCUGAGAGGAUGAUCAGCCACACUGGAACUGAGACACGGUCCAGACUCCUACGGGAGGCAGCAGUCGGGAAUUUUGGGCAAUGGGCGAAAGCCUGACCCAGCAACGCCGCGUGAGGGAUGAAGGCCCUCGGGUCGUAAACCUCUGUCGGGAGGGGAGAACGGUCGCGACUCGAACAGAUUCGCGGCCUGACGGUACCUCCAAAGGAAGCGCCGGCUAACUCCGUGCCAGCAGCCGCGGUAAUACGG
Molecule: ribosomal RNA, 523 nt
Filed under: uncultured soil bacterium
Lineage: Bacteria
Description: bacterial SSU rRNA
Rfam family: Bacterial small subunit ribosomal RNA
Source: RNAcentral